RNAcentral lists this long non-coding RNA (1231 nucleotides) under Marmota monax (woodchuck). The record is from RNAcentral. Lineage: Eukaryota; Metazoa; Chordata; Mammalia; Rodentia; Sciuridae.
GCUGAGUUGCUAAGUGCUUCGCCAAGUUGCUGAGGCUGGCUUUGAACUCGCAAUCCUCCUGCUUCAGCCUCCUGAACCCCUGGGAUUACAGGUGUGCACCACUGUGCCCAGCCCUAAUCCUUUUUUAUUUUCAAACAGUGUCUCACUAAGUUUGUGAGGGUCUCAUUAAGUUGCCAAGGCUGGCCUCUAACUUGUGAUCUCCCUCUUUGGCCUCCUGAGCUGCUUGGAUGACAGGUGUGCUCCAACCACACCCUAUAUUUUUGAUGCUUCCAUAAAAGGGCUCAUCUGCCAAGUAUGGUGACAGAUACAUGUAAUCCCAAUGAUUUUGGAGGCAGAGGCAUGAGGAUUACAAGUCUGAGAACAGCCUCAGCAACUUAGAGAGGCCCUAAGCAACUCAGUGAGACCUUUUCUCAAAAUGAAAAAUAAAAAGGAUUGGGGAUGUGGCUCAGUGGUUAAGCGCCCUGGGGUUCAGUCCCAGGUACCAAAAAUAAUCAAACAAAAAAGAGCUCAGGCUGUGUGUAUUCUUUUGCAACCUGCUCUUGUUCUACAUUGUGACCUGCAGUUGUGUUGUAUGGCAUAUAAGUUUGAAUUCCAGAAUUUGAACAGACCACAAUUAUCCAUUUUACCAUUAAUUGGACAGUUACAUCUUUUGGUUGUCACCACAAAGCUACUGUGAACCUGCUUGCACUCAUUUCCUGGUUCAGGGAUGCAAGAAUUUCUGGGUCAUAGCAUUUGUAUCUUCAACUUGACUAGUGUCAAGAGCUGCCCAGAGCUGCCCUAACAAAUUACCACAAGCUUGAAUAGUUUAAAAAAAAAAAAAAUAGAAGUGGAUUUUCUCCUUUUGGGAGACCAGAAAUCCAAAACCAAGGCGGCAAAUCCAAAAUGAAGAGCUCUAGGGGAGAACCACUCCUAUAUUCUUCUGUGGUUUCCAGUAUCCCAUACUAAUUUGUCUUUUUUUGUGUGUGUGUGCUGGAGAUUGAACCCAGGGCCUUACACAUGCUAGGCAAAUGUUCUACCACUGAGCUAUAUCCCCAGCCUUUCUUUAAAAUUCUGAGAUAGGGUGUCACUCAGUUGCCCAGGCAGGCCUUAUACUUGUAAUCCUCUUGCCUCAACUUCCCAAGUAGCUGGGGUUACGAGCAGGCACCACCAUACCCAGUUUCACAUGGUCAUUGAAGGAGUUAAAAAAUAUACCAGCCUGGGCCAGGUGCAGUGGUACAGGCCUAUAAUCCCA